This is a non-coding RNA of Octopus bimaculoides (California two-spot octopus), 119 nucleotides long. The record is from Rfam. Lineage: Eukaryota; Metazoa; Mollusca; Cephalopoda; Octopoda; Octopodidae.
AGCUUUGCGCAGAGGCGGUACCAUAGCCAAUGAGGGUUAUCCGAGGCGUGGUUAUUACUAGUUGAAAAUAUUAUUAUUAGUAUUAUUAUUAUUAUUAUUAUUAUUAUUAUUUAUUAUUA